RNAcentral lists this ribosomal RNA (419 nucleotides) under uncultured anaerobic ammonium-oxidizing bacterium. RNAcentral describes it as "bacterial SSU rRNA". It matches the Rfam family "Bacterial small subunit ribosomal RNA", at positions 383 to 810 of the family's 1533-position model. The record is from RNAcentral.
GUGAACGAGCGACGCCGCGUGAGCGAUGAAGGCCUUCGGGUCGUAAAGCUCUGUCGAGGGGGAGAAAAGCCGCAAGGCUUGAUCGACCCCUGGAGGAAGCACGGGCUAAGUUCGUGCCAGCAGCCGCGGUAAGACGAACCGUGCGAACGUUAUUCGGAAUCACUGGGCUUAAAGGGCGCGUAGGCGGGCCGAAAAGUCAGGGGUGAAAUCCUCCAGCCCAACUGGAGAAGCGCCUUUGGUACUGUCGGCCUCGAGGGGUGCAGGGGCAUGCGGAACUCAGGGUGGAGCGGUGAAAUGCGUAGAUAUCCUGAGGAACACCGGUGGCGAAAGCGGCGUGCUGGACACCUUCUGACGCUGAGGCGCGAAAGCCAGGGGAGCGAACGGGAUUAGAUACCCCGGUAGUCCUGGCCCUAAACGAU